This 1564-nucleotide long non-coding RNA is filed under the name Phoenix dactylifera (date palm). RNAcentral's name for it is "long non-coding RNA (PDAC_LNC011242)". The record is from RNAcentral. Lineage: Eukaryota; Viridiplantae; Streptophyta; Magnoliopsida; Arecales; Arecaceae.
AGAUAAUUUGAUUAAAACUUAACUGGUAUAUCUUAUUGAUAAUUAUCUUAAGCAAAUAGAAUCUAAGCUAAAUUGCUUCUGAAAACAAGAAAUUGGUUUGACUUUGAUAAAUCUUCUUAUUGCCUCACAUGGGUAUCCUUGAACCAUCUUAUUUAAUGAAAUUAUCUCUUUAGUUCAAGUGACUUGUGCUUGCUUAUAUUUAGGCAAUCUAUUGAGUAGAGUGACUCAAAUUCAAUCAUUGUCAUAUCUUAUGUCAAGUCAUAUAGUUAUGAAAUAUGUUAUAUGAAUAUUCUUGUAUCUUGGACAACCUAAUGACUUGCCUUCAAGAAAGAAAAAGAUUCUACUAAUGAUGCAGGAUCUAUAAGCAAGAAAUGAGAGAUUUCAACUUGAAGGACACCUCCACGUAAGGUACAAUAAACAUUCAUAUGCAAACAAGAAAGAGAACUUUCUUCAGCCAAAAGUUUAUACANNNNNNNNNNNNNNNNNNNNNNNNNNNNNNNNNNNNNNNNGAAUCGGUAAUUUCAUAUAUCUCUCUUAUAAAUCAGUUGAGCAAAGUCAUAUUGUGGCAUGAUUAAAGUCCUUAAUUACUAAUUUCUUGAUAUCAUGUCUACAUAUAUUUUGACUAACUUAUGCUUUUGAAAUUUGUUUCAUGGUUUGCCUAAAUUGAAAUAUACUCUUGCGUGUAUAAUGCAUAACCAUGAAAUACACAAGUGUAUGCCUCAAAUCUCUAAUUCAGAAUAACUUGUGAUAAGCUAUGAAUUAUUGGGCAUAAUGAAAUGCUGUUUACAUGAUAUAUAUUUAUAUGCAGCAUAUUAGAUUAUUUUUUUUUUUAUCCUGCUCUUUCAUGUAAUUACUUGAAAAUAACAAAAAGAGAGAGAUAUAAAGAAAAAGAAAAUGAACAUUGUUUGGGAGAAGUAAAAGCUAAGUAAAUACUUUAAUCUUAAGAAAAAGCAGAGCAAGCAUAAUAUAUUCAGCAUAUUUGUGAGACUUGUGUGAGCAUUCUUUUGGAAGGAAUAAAAUUCGUAAUUUAUUAUAUUUAAAUAGGGAGAGUUUGGAGUGAAUAUCUUGUUGUUAAAGAAAACGGUUUAACCUUUCUAUUUUGCUCAUCAUAGGAAUGGUGCCAAUGGGGAGGCUAGUGGUAGUACCCGGCACUAUUUGACCCAACUAUUCGGUGUAGGACAGAUUAGGGACGGCACAAGAGGGAGGCUAGUGGUAGUACCUCGUGCCCCUUCCAACUCCACCGGAUAGGGAGCAAAUAGAGUAUAGAGCAUAGAAAAGUAAAACCAAAAGAAAUGAAGAUUAGAAUGUUCACUAAGUGGUUAAAGGAAGAAAUUCAAAAAUGAGGAAAUGAAUGACAAGAUAAAUGAAAGUAUAUAAAAAGCUUGUGAAAAGCCAAAUGAAGUUUCGAUCACUUGAAAACACGCCUUAAGGAUAAAAUCAGUGUAGAAUUAUAUAUAAAUAAGGAGAGUUUAUUUGAAAAGAAUUGAUUUUGACCAUUGACAUGCUUGUUAUUUCAGUUUGGUCAUUCACGUUUAUCUUUGAAAGUUAAAUAGAUGUGCAAAAA